CGGACGGGUGAGUAAUGUAUGGGGAUCUGCCUGAUGGCGGGGAUAACUACUGGAAACGGUAGCUAAUACCGCAUAAUGUCUACGGACCAAAGCGGGGGACCUCCGGGCCUCGCGCCAUCAGAUGAACCCAUAUGGGAUUAGCUAGUAGGUAAGGUAACGGCUUACCUAGGCGACGAUCCCUAGCUGGUCUGAGAGGAUGACCAGCCACACUGGAACUGAGACACGGUCCAG
This 231-nucleotide ribosomal RNA is filed under the name uncultured bacterium. Its description in RNAcentral is "partial 16S ribosomal RNA". It matches the Rfam family "Bacterial small subunit ribosomal RNA", at positions 99 to 334 of the family's 1533-position model. The record is from RNAcentral.